GAUUAACGCUGGCGGCGUGCCUAACACAUGCAAGUCGAGCGGCAGCGAGUUUUACACUGAAUUCUGGAAGCUUCUAGUUGAAAGAGAAGAUUUAUUCAAGAAUUUUGUGUAAAAUGUCGGCGAGCGGCGGACGGCUGAGUAACGCGUGGGAACGUACCCCAAAGUGAGGGAUAACGCAUCGAAAGGUGUGCUAAUACCGCAUAUGGUCUUCGGAUUAAAGCCUUCGGGCGCUUUGGGAACGGCCUGCGUAAGAUUAGAUAGUUGGUGGGGUAAUGGCCUACCAAGUCGACGAUCUUUAACUGGUUUGAGAGGAUGAUCAGUCAGACUGGAACUGAGACACGGUCCAGACUCCUACGGGAGGCAGCAGUGAGGAAUCUUCCACAAUGGGCGAAAGCCUGAUGGAGCAACGCCGCGUGCAGGAUGAAGGCCUUCGGGUUGUAAACUGCUUUUAUAAGUGAGGAUUAUGACAGUAACUUAUGAAUAAGGAUCGGCUAACUACGUGCCAGCAGCCGCGGUCAUACGUAGGAUCCGAGCGUUAUCCGGAGUGACUGGGCGUAAAGAGUUGCGUAGGUGGUUCAAUAAGCGAAUAGUGAAAGCUGGUGGCUCAACCAUUCAGACUAUUAUUCGAACUGUUGAACUCGAGAGCAGAAGAGGUAGCUGGAAUUUCUAGUGUAGGAGUGAAAUCCGUAGAUAUUAGAAGGAACACCGAUGGCGUAGGCAGGCUACUGGGCUGUUUCUGACACUGAGGCACGAAAGCGUGGGGAGCGAACCGGAUUAGAUACCCGGGUAGUCCACGCCGUAAACGAUGGAUACUAGCUGUUUGGGGUAUCGACCCCCUGAGUAGCGAAGCUAACGCGUUAAGUAUCCCGCCUGUGGAGUACGAUCGCAAGAUUAAAACAUAAAGGAAUUGACGGGGACCCGCACAAGCGGUGGAUCAUGUUCUUUAAUUCGAUGAUAACCGAUAAACCUUACCAGGUCUUGACAUCCUUGGAAUCUUUCAGAAAUGAGAGAGUGCUUUUUAAGAGCCAAGUGACAGGUGAUGCAUGGCCGUCGUCAGCUCGUGUCGUGAGAUGUUUGGUUAAGUCCAUCAACGAGCGCAACCCUCGUCAGUAGUUGUAUUUUUCUACUGAGACUGCCCCGGUAACGGGGAGGAAGGAGGGGAUGACGUCAGGUCAGUAUUUCCCUUACGUCCUGGGCUAGAAACGUGAUACAAUGGCUAGUACAAUGCGCAGCGAAGCCGCGAGGUGAAGCAAAUCGCAUCAAAGCUAGUCCCAGUUCGGAUUGUAGGCUGAAACUCGCCUGCAUGAAGUCGGAAUUGCUAGUAAUCGCAGAUCAGCAUGCUGCGGUGAAUACGUUCCCGGGUCU
This 1365-nucleotide ribosomal RNA is filed under the name uncultured bacterium. Its description in RNAcentral is "bacterial SSU rRNA". It matches the Rfam family "Bacterial small subunit ribosomal RNA", at positions 28 to 1381 of the family's 1533-position model. The record is from RNAcentral.